GGGUUGUGAGGUUAAGCGACUAAGCGUACACGGUGGAUGCCCUGGCAGUCAGAGGCGAUGAAGGACGUGCUAAUCUGCGAAAAGCGUCGGUAAGGUGAUAUGAACCGUUACAGCCGGCGAUGUCCGAAUGGGGAAACCCAGUGCAAUUCGUUGCACUAUCGUUAACUGAAUACAUAGGUUAACGAGGCGAACCGGGGGAACUGAAACAUCUAAGUACCCCGAGGAAAAGAAAUCAACCGAGAUUCCCCCAGUAGCGGCGAGCGAACGGGGAGCAGCCCGGAGUCUGAAUCAGCUUGUGUGUUAGUGGAAGCGUCUGGAAAGUCGCAGGGUACAGGGUGAUACUCCCGUACACUAAAACACACAGGUUGUGAACUCGAAGAGUAGGGCGGGACACGUGGUAUCCUGUCUGAAUAUGGGGGGACCAUCCUCCAAGGCUAAAUACUCCUGACUGACCGAUAGUGAACCAGUACCGUGAGGGAAAGGCGAAAAGAACCCCGGCGAGGGGAGUGAAAAAGAACCUGAAACCGUGUACGUACAAGCAGUAGGAGCCCACUUGUUGGGUGACUGCGUACCUUUUGUAUAAUGGGUCAGCGACUUAUAUUCUGUAGCAAGGUUAACCGUAUAGGGGAGCCGCAGGGAAACCGAGUCUUAACUGGGCGUUAAGUUGCAGGGUAUAGACCCGAAACCCGGUGAUCUAGCCAUGGGCAGGUUGAAGGUUGGGUAACACUAACUGGAGGACCGAACCGACUAAUGUUGAAAAAUUAGCGGAUGACUUGUGGCUGGGGGUGAAAGGCCAAUCAAACCGGGAGAUAGCUGGUUCUCCCCGAAAGCUAUUUAGGUAGCGCCUCGUGAACUCAUCUUCGGGGGUAGAGCACUGUUUCGGCUAGGGGGUCAUCCCGACUUACCAACCCGAUGCAAACUACGAAUACCGAAGAAUGUUAUCACGGGAGACACACGGCGGGUGCUAACGUCCGUCGUGAAGAGGGAAACAACCCAGACCGCCAGCUAAGGUCCCAAAGUCAUGGUUAAGUGGGAAACGAUGUGGGAAGGCCCAGACAGCCAGGAUGUUGGCUUAGAAGCAGCCAUCAUUUAAAGAAAGCGUAAUAGCUCACUGGUCGAGUCGGCCUGCGCGGAAGAUGUAACGGGGCUAAACCAUGCACCGAAGCUGCGGCAGCGACACUAUGUGUUGUUGGGUAGGGGAGCGUUCUGUAAGCCGUUGAAGGUGGCCUGUGAGGGUUGCUGGAGGUAUCAGAAGUGCGAAUGCUGACAUAAGUAACGAUAAUGCGGGUGAAAAACCCGCACGCCGGAAGACCAAGGGUUCCUGUCCAACGUUAAUCGGGGCAGGGUGAGUCGACCCCUAAGGCGAGGCCGAAAGGCGUAGUCGAUGGGAAACAGGUUAAUAUUCCUGUACUCGGUGUUACUGCGAAGGGGGGACGGAGAAGGCUAUGUUGGCCGGGCGACGGUUGUCCCGGUUUAAGCAUGUAGGCGGAUGUUCCAGGUAAAUCCGGAACGUCACUAACGCUGAGGUGUGAUGACGAGGCACUACGGUGCUGAAGUGACAAAUGCCCUGCUUCCAGGAAAAGCCUCUAAGCAUCAGGUAACAUCAAAUCGUACCCCAAACCGACACAGGUGGUCAGGUAGAGAAUACCAAGGCGCUUGAGAGAACUCGGGUGAAGGAACUAGGCAAAAUGGUGCCGUAACUUCGGGAGAAGGCACGCUGAUGGUAGGUGAAGCGACUUGCUCGUGGAGCUGAAAUCAGUCGAAGAUACCAGCUGGCUGCAACUGUUUAUUAAAAACACAGCACUGUGCAAACACGAAAGUGGACGUAUACGGUGUGACGCCUGCCCGGUGCCGGAAGGUUAAUUGAUGGGGUUAUCCGUAAGGAGAAGCUCUUGAUCGAAGCCCCGGUAAACGGCGGCCGUAACUAUAACGGUCCUAAGGUAGCGAAAUUCCUUGUCGGGUAAGUUCCGACCUGCACGAAUGGCGUAAUGAUGGCCAGGCUGUCUCCACCCGAGACUCAGUGAAAUUGAACUCGCUGUGAAGAUGCAGUGUACCCGCGGCAAGACGGAAAGACCCCGUGAACCUUUACUAUAGCUUGACACUGAACACUGGUCCUUGAUGUGUAGGAUAGGUGGGAGGCUUUGAAGUGUGGACGCCAGUCUGCAUGGAGCCAUCCUUGAAAUACCACCCUUUAAUGGCUGGUGUUCUAACGUGGGCCCCUAAUCGGGGUUGCGGACAGUGUCUGGUGGGUAGUUUGACUGGGGCGGUCUCCUCCUAAAGAGUAACGGAGGAGCACGAAGGUCAGCUAAUCCUGGUCGGACAUCAGGAGGUUAGUGCAAUGGCAUAAGCUGGCUUGACUGCGAGCGUGACGGCGCGAGCAGGUGCGAAAGCAGGUCAUAGUGAUCCGGUGGUUCUGAAUGGAAGGGCCAUCGCUCAACGGAUAAAAGGUACUCCGGGGAUAACAGGCUGAUACCGCCCAAGAGUUCAUAUCGACGGCGGUGUUUGGCACCUCGAUGUCGGCUCAUCACAUCCUGGGGCUGAAGUAGGUCCCAAGGGUAUGGCUGUUCGCCAUUUAAAGUGGUACGCGAGCUGGGUUUAGAACGUCGUGAGACAGUUCGGUCCCUAUCUGCCGUGGGCGCUGGAGAAUUGAGGGGGGCUGCUCCUAGUACGAGAGGACCGGAGUGGACGCAUCACUGGUGUUCGGGUUGUCAUGCCAAUGGCAUUGCCCGGUAGCUAAAUGCGGAAGAGAUAAGUGCUGAAAGCAUCUAAGCACGAAACUUGCCCCGAGAUGAGUUCUCCCUGACUCCUUGAGAGUCCUGAAGGAACGUUGAAGACGACGACGUUGAUAGGCCGGGUGUGUAAGCGCAGCGAUGCGUUGAGCUAACCGGUACUAAUGAACCGUGAGGCUUAACCUUACAACGCCGAAG
RNAcentral lists this ribosomal RNA (2927 nucleotides) under Klebsiella michiganensis. RNAcentral describes it as "bacterial LSU rRNA". It matches the Rfam family "Bacterial large subunit ribosomal RNA". Lineage: Bacteria; Pseudomonadati; Pseudomonadota; Gammaproteobacteria; Enterobacterales; Enterobacteriaceae. The record is from RNAcentral.